RNAcentral lists this ribosomal RNA (484 nucleotides) under uncultured bacterium. Its description in RNAcentral is "partial 16S ribosomal RNA". It matches the Rfam family "Bacterial small subunit ribosomal RNA", at positions 30 to 507 of the family's 1533-position model. The record is from RNAcentral.
AUUGAACGCUGGCGGCAGGCCUAACACAUGCAAGUCGAGCGGAUGAAGGGAGCUUGCUCCUGGAUUCAGCGUCGGACGGGUGAGUAAUGCCUAGGAAUCUGCCUGGUAGUGGGUGAUAACGUCCGGAAACGGGCGCUAAUACCGCAUACGUCCUGAGGGAGAAAGUGGGGGAUCUUCGGACCUCACGCUAUCAGAUGAGCCUAGGUCGGAUUAGCUAGUUGGUGGGGUAAAGGCCUACCAAGGCGACGAUUCGUAACUGGUCUGAGAGGAUGAUCAGUCACACUGGAACUGAGACACGGUCCAGACUCCUACGGGAGGCAGCAGUGGGGAAGAUUGGACAAUGGGCGAAAGCCUGAUACAGCCAUGCAGCGUGUGUGAAGAAGGUCUUCGGAUUGUAAAGCACUUUACGUUGGGAGGAAGGGCAGUAAGUUAAUACCUUGCUGUUUUGACGUUACCAACAGAAUAAGCACCGGCUAACUUCGUG